Humulus lupulus (European hop) is the source of this 3986-nucleotide long non-coding RNA. RefSeq lists it as uncharacterized. The record is from RefSeq and is a predicted model, not a curated record. The transcript is spliced from 3 exons. NCBI's taxonomy places the organism in Eukaryota, Viridiplantae, Streptophyta, Magnoliopsida, Rosales, Cannabaceae.
GCAUAAUAAAAUUCAAUGAUAUUUUCUAGGUUGUUUUGUUGCAGGGGUGCUUCACUUUAUUCAGGUGAUCAUCAUCCUGAUGCACUUCGCCAGCGAGAUCAGCAUUUGAAAACAUAAAAGAAAUGAGAUUGAAUCUUUAGUGAAGCUGAAGGAGGCGUUUCAUAAUUGUAAAGAUCUAGAAAAUGAUAUUGUGUUGAAGAUACAAAGGUUAAUUCAUUGCACUAUUUCCUUUAAAAAUCAUGAUCACUGAGAUUGAUUAAUUUCCUUGCAUAUUCUGUACUAUGUAUUGACACUUCUGUUUUGAUAAUAAUAAUAAACCAUAUAUACAUUUUUAUAAUUGUAGAUUAAUUUUAUAUAUCUUUCAUAUUUUAUUUUGCCUUUUUUGGUUUAAAUCUUUCUGUUAUUUUUAUGUUUAGUGCACCUGCAUUUUAUUGAAUUAUAUCCAAAUGUAGUACUUCCUCUUUUAUAAUUUGGAAUUAGGAAGACAUCUUGGAUUAAUCCUCUUUUAUCUUCAAGUUUGCUGAAGAAAACUCUGCUCUCAUAAUAUACUUUUAGGUGGUCAAAAUCUUGAUGAUACAAUUCGAAAAUGGCACCAAAAAUACCAAUGAAGAAAUGGCGGAAAGGAUCCUAGGUAUCAAUUUGUUUUUACGACUCAGUUUGAAACAAUUAUUUUAGUUUCUGGAUUCAUUUUUAACAUUUUGAAUAUGUGGAGAAAUAGAACAGUAUAGAGAUUAUUAAAGAUGCAGAAAAAGAAGAAAAUGUUGAUGCAGUUGAACAUGUGGAAGUUGGAGAAAAGAAUUGGAUGGUGCAGUAUGCUAAGAAAUUUAGAACUAAAAGGGUUAAUUAAUAUGAGUUGGGGAUGUGAAUGUUUAUAUAUAUAUAUAUAUUUCAAACAUAUUGUUUUUUAUUAGAUUUUUAAUUAUUUCAUUAUGAGAAACAAUGAUUAAUAUAGUGAGAUGAAAUGAGAGUAAAAGGUUAUAAAAGAUGAUAAGUUAUCAUCUAGGAAUUACGACCAAGUUAUCAUUUUAUUAGUUCUUAUGCUAAGGUGAUUUUGACACUAAGAAAACUAUUGUUUAGAUAAACGAUAGAUGAUAUGAUAUAUCAUUGUCUUCAUUUGGAAUUAAAAGCUUGUGUUGUUUGUAGAAUAGUAUAUUUCUCAAAUAAGCUGACUUGUUAUUUGUAAAUAUGUAUAUGCUUUUAAUUUAGUCUUGAAAUUAUAUAUUUCGCUUCUUUGUUUCUUUGAGUAUUUCUUCAUUUUCUUGUUGCCAAGCUAAUUAUUUUCAAUAAAUCAUAUUUUAUGGCUGUUAAUGGUUAUCAUAGUAGGAAAAAACUGUAUUUCUCACCCAUUUGUGUAUUAAUUCAUGCGAAAUAGAUGGUUAGAUAAAUGAAAUGGAAGCUGCUCGUUGCUCACUUUGGUAGAAAAUUUUCAAACUUGGCAUUUUCUUUGUAUAGCUCUCUCUACAAAAUUGUCUACUAUAUUCAUAUCUAUGUUAAUGAAGCAACUAGUAAAUUGUUGAAACAAUAAAUUGCCGCUAGUGUAGAUAUUUAAGCUUAGUAGCUUACAUAAGUACCCAUGAUUUCUCUCAUCACUUGUUCCUUUUCUGCAACUCAAAAGAUUUAACCCUAAAAAUUAGAUUGGGUAAAUCAUUUGCUUUGAGCCUUAGUUAUGUAUUAGUGUUAGUAUUUUGUUUGUUUGUAUCUUUAACUUUUUGUUUUGCUUUUUUGAUUUAUUCAGAUUUUUCUUUCAAAGCUCCAUUUUCCCUUUCCUCUGUUUUUUCAUUUCCUUCUAUUUUUUUCUUUCGACUGUUUUUUAUUUUUUUAUUUAACAUCUUUGGUGCAUUUUGCUACUGGUUUAAUGGCAUAGAAUAUGUAUUUAGCUAUUGCUUUGAUGUAUUUUGUUACUGGUUUGUGUUGUUUUUUUACUGCUACUAUUGGUCUAUUUUGUUGCUACUGUUGGUCUAUUUUUUUAAAAAAUUUGGUAAUUUAAUCAUGCCACAAUUACAUAGGUCCAAUUACUUUAACAAUUUCCUUGUUCCCAAGCUUUGUUUGAAUCUUCAUUUUGUUUGAUACUUUGUUGCUUUCUUUCUCAUUUUCUGACAAGUUUAUGUUCCCAUGUGUUUUGGAUUUCUAUUGAUUAUCUUGCAGUUGCAAAGUCCGCAGUUGUGAGUUUUGAUGCUUUCAUACUCUUCUUAAAUUUUUCUUCCUGUACUUCUGGUGGCCUUUUGACCUUGUUUGGUUGUAGGCAUGUGUUAAUUUCAUUAACGUGUGUGUAUAGAUUUGUGGCUCCUACUUCACUUCUGUGAUGUAUGUGGAGCAUUGGUGUGAGGAGAAUUUCAGGAGCCUAACACUGGGCAGCCCAGAUUUUUCUGACAUUGAAAUGUGAUAUUGAAGCUUUUCUUCAAGGUGAGGGCUUGAGCUAAGCUUGGGUUGGGGAACUUAGAGGAAUUUGAGGAAGAAUUCAGUUGGGAUUUGAAGGGAAUUAAGCUGGGUGUUGGAGCUGGAAAUUCAGAGGAAAGGUCAGAUAAAUUUUAGGUAAAAUUCUGGGCUUUCAUCUCUGAAUUUGACUAGGUUUAUGUUGAGGAAUUUUGGAUAUAUGAAUGCGUUGAUUGGAAUGAGUUUUGGGUAUUAAAUUGGCUGAGUGUUGAGUGGUGAAUUCUACUGAAUUGGGGGUAUUGUUUCUGGUACAAUUGUUUAGGAGAUUUAUGUUUAAAGCAUAUGGAUUAAGAUGUUGAGUUAGUAGUUGGUUUAGUGUUGAAUAGAUGGGGAAAAUUAUGGGUAUAACUUAGGUGUUCUUGGCUGGGAGAAGGAGGAGAAAACCCAGGUUUUCUCUGGGUUCGCAGGGUGCGCCACGACCCAGCCUGGGGGCGCCGCGGUGCAUGUGGCCCUUAUGGCCGUGGGAGCUCUCUGACUUGGGGGCGUGCCGCGACUUGCUUGGCCAAGUCGCGACCCGCCUCCCCUUUUUGCUUGGGAGGUUGCUCUCUGACUUGGGGCAAGUUGCGACUUGCCGAGCCAAGUCGCGACCCGCCCAGGAGUUUUAUGCUUAGAGGAGUUCUUAGUGUUGUUAGGGCUCGAGGGUUCAAACAUAGGGGCUUGGGACAAUUUCUACUACCCGGUUUAGUAGAAAUUGAGGUCCCGAAGGCUAGUUUUGUUCACUAGGUAUUUUAUUUCUAAUCGGAAUUUGAUAGAUAUCAAUUACUCUUGUGACUAGGUUUGUUGCCAAGGCUCGAGGCUAGGGAUCGUGCUCGGAACUAGCUCACCUUCUCCGCUUGGAAUCAAAGGUAAGAAAACUGCACCCAAUUGUGUGGCUAUGUUGGGACUACGAGUUCCCUAUACUUGUAUGAUGGUAUUAUGCCAUGUGAGCAUGAAAUAAAUGACCUAAGCGUGCUUGAAUUAAUAUUUGCGCACAGAAUGCGGCUCGGCCACUGGUAGCUGAGGUUAAUUAUAUAAUCAUUGAGCUUGGCCUAAGUGAGCCAGAGUCAGUGGGUUAAACAGAGGGUGCGGCCUAAGGGCGCUGACCCUGGACAUUGUAUGAUAUGUUUACUAUGGUUAAUAUGAUGAGUAUAGCAUGUUAAUUACCUGGAUAAUAGAUUGUUGAUUUGUCGGUUGAUAUCACUGAUUAUGUGAACGAUGUGGUUUGUUGAGUAUUUGAUUAAUGAUGUGUGAAUUAUUUGAUUAUUAUUAUUGGUUAUGCUUUGUAUAUGGUUUUCUUGAUGGGCCUUGUCUCACGGGUGCUACGUGGUGCAUGUAAAGGCAAGGGUAAUCUGGGCCAACCCUGAUUUGGAGAGCUCUGGGGGCAGAAUGUACAUAGUCGGCUGCUCGGCCGCCACGAUCGAGGGAUGGUAUAGUGACAGGAGACCCCAAAAUUCCUAUUUUGCCAUUAGAGUGGCUUGUGGUUGUACAUAACCUUUGGAAAUUUUGUAAACGGUUAUUUAACCUUUUUUUUUGGGAUCCUGUGUAUCAAAUGCUUUUUUAAAUGAAAUUUAUCU